CAAUAAUAGGAUAGUCUUUUUAGAAAAGGAGUUCUUUGGUGAAGAAACUAAUGUCUCAAAGAUUAAACUUGAUAAAGUUCGAUCGGUAGAAGAAUCGAUACAAUCUAGUAAACCCAUAGAGUCAGGCUUGAUUAAAUCAAAUCCGAAACCUAUUGUAGAAAUAUCUUUAAGAAGAUCCGGUAGAGUACCGCAUCAACCAGAUAGAUGCUAUGAUUUCUUAGUCUG
RNAcentral lists this long non-coding RNA (225 nucleotides) under Elaeis guineensis (African oil palm). Its description in RNAcentral is "long non-coding RNA (EGUI_LNC027902)". The record is from RNAcentral. Lineage: Eukaryota; Viridiplantae; Streptophyta; Magnoliopsida; Arecales; Arecaceae.